GAUGAACGCUAGCUACAGGCUUAACACAUGCAAGUCGAGGGGUAACGAGAGGGAAGCUUGCUUUCCUUGUCGACGACCGGCGCACGGGUGAGUAACGCGUAUCCAACCUGCCCCCAACUAAGGAAUAACCUUGCGAAAGUAAGACUAAUACCCUAUAAUUUCCUCAGAUGACAUCUGACGAGGAAUAAAGAUUUAUCGGUUGUGGAUGGGGAUGCGUCUGAUUAGCUUGUUGGCGGGGUAACGGCCCACCAAGGCAACGAUCAGUAGGGGUUCUGAGAGGAAGGUCCCCCACAUUGGAACUGAGACACGGUCCAAACUCCUACGGGAUGCAGCAGUGAGGAAUAUUGGUCAAUGGGCGGAAGCUUGAACCAGCCAAGUAGCGUGCAGGAUGACGGCCCUAUGGGUUGUAAACUGCUUUUAUACAGGAAUAAAGUUAGCCACGUGUGGUUAUUCGUAGGUACUGUAUGAAUAAGGACCGGCUAAUUCCGUGCCAGCCGCCGCAGUAA
This 506-nucleotide ribosomal RNA is filed under the name uncultured bacterium. RNAcentral describes it as "partial 16S ribosomal RNA". It matches the Rfam family "Bacterial small subunit ribosomal RNA", at positions 28 to 523 of the family's 1533-position model. The record is from RNAcentral.